AAACAACUUCAUCACUGGCCUCCACAGCUGCGUGGCUCAUUGCUGAUUCGAGUUUCUGACCUGUAUCAUUUUUCUUCUCUAUGAAGAACUUUUUUCAACAUUUCUUACAAGGCAGGUCUACU
Kogia breviceps (pygmy sperm whale) is the source of this 122-nucleotide non-coding RNA. Lineage: Eukaryota; Metazoa; Chordata; Mammalia; Artiodactyla; Physeteridae. The record is from RefSeq and is a predicted model, not a curated record.